AUUGAACGCUGGCGGCAUGCCUUACACAUGCAAGUCGAACGGCAGCAUAGGAGCUUGCUCCUGAUGGCGAGUGGCGAACGGGUGAGUAAUAUAUCGGAACGUGCCCUAGAGUGGGGGAUAACUAGUCGAAAGACUAGCUAAUACCGCAUACGAUCUACGGAUGAAAGUGGGGGAUCGCAAGACCUCAUGCUCCUGGAGCGGCCGAUAUCGGAUUAGCUAGUUGGUGGGGUAAAAGCCUACCAAGGCAACGAUCAGUAGCUGGUCUGAGAGGACGACCAGCCACACUGGGACUGAGACACGGCCCAGACUCCUACGGGAGGCAGCAGUGGGGAAUUUUGGACGAUGGGGGCAACCCUGAUCCAGCAAUGCCGCGUGAGUGAAGAAGGCCUUCGGGUUGUAAAGCUCUUUUGUCAGGGAAGAAACGGUAGUAGCUAAUAUCUAUUACUAAUGACGGUACCUGAAGAAUAAGCACCGGCUAACUACGUGCCAGCAGCCGCCGUAA
This 502-nucleotide ribosomal RNA is filed under the name uncultured bacterium. RNAcentral describes it as "partial 16S ribosomal RNA". It matches the Rfam family "Bacterial small subunit ribosomal RNA", at positions 30 to 523 of the family's 1533-position model. The record is from RNAcentral.